CACACUUUUUCUCCUCCACCUACUGCAACUGUUCCCAUAAACCUGGUGACAGAGUCAGAAAACUCCUCAGCUAAACAUCCAUAGACUUCAUAUGACCCAAUACUCUAUAUUGUGAUGAUCACACCAGCCAAGGCUACCUAAAAGAAGACAGUUAUCUCAUAUUUGGCUGCCAGUUUUUUCUUUCUCUUGACCGCUUAAAACUUCAGACUUCCUCUCCUGUUGGUGUCAUGGAGAAAGUCCAAUACCUCACUCGCUCAGCUAUAAGAAGAGCCUCAACCAUUGAAAUGCCUCAACAAGCACGUCAAAAUCUACAGAACCUAUUUAUCAAUUUCUGUCUCAUCUUAAUAUGUCUCUUGCUGAUCUGUAUCAUCGUGAUGCUUCUCUGAAGUUCUGCUACAACUCUAGAGCUGCAACGAACCACAUCAGCUUAAAAUCUGUCAUCCCAUGCAGACGGAAAACAAUACUGUGUAACACACCACUUCCUGAGUGUAAGAGUUUCUUUGUGAAAAGGUCAAGAUUAAGACUAAAACUCAUUGUUAGCACAUGUAUUCAUCUGCUGGAUCUUGUAAACAUGAAAAGGGCUUUAUUUUCAAAAAAUAACCUUAAAAUAAGUGUAUAAAAUGUAACUGCUGAUUUCCUCAACAUGGUUCACAAAUUUCUAUCCCAAAUCUUUUCUGAAGAUGAAAUAUGAGUUUAGUUCUGAAACUGCACUGCCAACAAGUUCACUUCAUAUGUAAAGCAUUAUUUUUACUCUUUUGAGGUAAAUAUAAUUUAUAUUACACUGUAAAAGCUUCUUUAGUAUUAAGUAUUUGUCAGGUCUUCACCAAGUAUCAAAGUAAUAAUACAAAUGAAGUGUCAUUAUUCAAAAUAGUCCACUGACUCCUCAUAUCUGUUAUCUUAUUAUAAAGAACUCUUUGUAGUAACUACCAGUAUCGAUAUUCUAAAACAGAAAUUGUAUUUUUUCUGUGCCACAUUAACAUUUUUUAAAGUUGAUGAGAAUCAAGUAUGGAAAAGUAAGGCCAUACUCUUACAUAAUAAAAUUUAUCUUAAGUGAUUUUUUUCAAAGAAUUACAGAAUUCUAGUCCAUGUAGGUAAACCAUAAAUCUGUUCUAAGAUAUUAUGAUCAACAGAUGAGAAUUGGUGGUUAAUAUCUGACAGUGUGAUUAGUCAUAAUCACUAAUGUACUAACAGAAUAGAAUCUAAUCUUCCUUUAAGGUACUGUAGUGAAUUACCUGAGUUGGAGUUACCUAACUUGCCAUAUCUACGGAAUCAUGAAACCAUAAGACUUCAGAAUGAUUUUAUAGUUUGUCUUCUAUUCAAACCCAACAUCCAAUGCAGGCAAAGAAAAUAAUAGAAGAUUUCCAGUGACAGAAAAAGGUUAUCUCAAGUAUUUAAAAGAAAUAAAAAUAUGAAUUUUCUCUCCAAAUAUUAACUAAUUUUUAGAUUACUUUUUUUUUUUAGAUUACAUUUUGAAAUGAACUUGUUGGCCCAUCUGUUAUAUCUACAGCUGACCCCUUAACAUGGGGGUUGGUGAGCUGACAAUCCGUGGGUCCCCAAAAAUCUUAACUACUAAUAGCCUACUAUUGACAAUAAACCUUACUAAUAACAUAAACAGUAAAUUAACACAUAUUUUGCAUGUUUUAUGUAUUAUAUACUCUAUUCCUACAACAAAGUAAGCUAGAGAAAAAAAUCUUAUUUAGAAAAUCAUUAGAAAAUGUAUUUACUAUUCAUUAAACGGAAGUGGGUCAACAUAGAAGUCUUCAUUCUCAUUGUCUUCACACUGAAUAUGCAGAGGAACAAGAGGAGGAGAAAGAUGGGAAGGAAGAGAAGGGAUUGGUCUUGCAGUCUUGUCUUAGGGAUGUGGGGAGUGGGGGAAAAGAAAAUUCAUGUAUAAGUGGACCCUCUCAGUUCAAGUCCUUGUCGUUCUAGCAUCAACUGUAAUAGGAUAUAGCUAUUUUCCUUAAUCAAUCAAUCAAAUGGUAAACAUCUAUUUUGUAAGCCACUCUACUGAGCUAAAUUAUAGAUCCAACAAUGCUAUCUAUAACUAUUUUCUUGAUGAAUAAAUUUUCAAUUUCUCCUCUGAUCAUUUCAGAACAUCUUCCAAUAACUCACAAAACAACUGAAGUAAAAUUUAGUGCUGACAAAUAUAUUCACCAAACUUUGGUAAUUUAAGUUGACUAAAGUUUAAAAUUAAGUCUAAACUGUAUAAUCCAACAAUUUUAAUUCCAACUGAAGACAUGUUACUAAUAUAACUAUUAUUAAAAGGGCAGAUGAUAUAUAAUUAACCAUAUCCUCUAAAACAUGGUUACUAAAAGAAUAUGAAGCAUCAAUAUUGAUCUUGGUUUCUUAUACAAGUGCUGCUAACUGAAUAGUGAAGGAGACAUUAUUAAAUUUUCUGAAACCAUGAGAGGUACUAGAGAUGGGAGCGGAAAGGGUUUGGUUCAGGGAUACCUGAAUAACGGAUGGGCAGAGUUUUCUUAAGCGAAACCUCAUCUACAAGUUGGAAAUCCAUAAUAACAAGUAGAAAGCUUAUAAACAACAGGUAAUACACUCACCUUACUGGUUUUAGUAAAUUACCAAUACAAAAAGUAUCCAAGUUCUAUAAUAAGCUGCACUGGUCUUAAAAACAAGUGGAUAAUUUGAACUGAUUAGUCAUAGUCCUUUCAUUACAUUGUUCAUUACAGUAUUUUCCUCAGUAAACAGAAAUAAGUAUUUUUUUUUGUUCUUCAUUGUUUGAUAGAAAUUAAAAUCUUAUUCUGUGAGGAUUACAGAAUACUACAUUAUAACUCAAAUUAUAAAAAUAUAGGGCCAGGCGCAAUGGCUCAUGCCUGU
This is an RNA transcript of Sapajus apella (tufted capuchin), 2832 nucleotides long. It is a transcript of the gene named phospholamban, with no coding region annotated. NCBI's taxonomy places the organism in Eukaryota, Metazoa, Chordata, Mammalia, Primates, Cebidae. The transcript has 3 exons. The record is from RefSeq and is a predicted model, not a curated record.